AGCAGAGAUUUGGUUCUACACAUUGCCUCAGAAAAAAGCCCUGAGAGAAAUGUCACCUAAAUACUAGAGAAACAUACAUGAAAACAAGAUUGAGGAAGCCCAUUUACAUGCUGAGUAUGAGUGAUUCCUGCUGUUUCAGAAGCACUUUACCUGUCAAGCCACAGGCAGCUGCUUAUCCUCAGGAUCCUCAGAUCUUCAGAAUGGCCAGCAGCUGUUUCUGGAAACUGGUGUAUCCUUGACUUGAAAGGCAAAUACUAUCUCCCAGCAACAAAGUAACAGAUUAGUGCCCUAAAUCUUCUGGUGCAUCAUUAAAAAAAAUUACAGCUGUCACAAGAAACAGAACAUAAUUUUUACUUGCCGGUUGUCAGCAUUGCUUGCUCAUUUGGAACUUCCAAUUACUUCAUCAAGGAGAAACUGCUUUUUAGGAAGCAGCAACCUCCUCCUUCCUUAUCCCUGCAAAACUACUACUGGCAAUUUUUGAAAACAAACAAGGAUUUUUCAGUUGUGGCUUAGUCUUCUCCAAUAAUCAUUGUGGCUCUUCUGGUUCACCUUCAAAACACUUCCUGCACAUGCUCCUCCUUCCACUCCCAAACCAAAAUUAGAGCAACAAUUCAGCAAUGUGUUGCAGGAGGAAGAUUUUCAAGCCAACAGCGUGGCCACCACGGACAAUUUUAUGCAUUCAGUCUUGGGGAUUAUACUUAACUCAUGAAAAUGGCUAGCAGUGAGACAGCUGGGAAGGCAGCUAUCACUAACAUGACUAGUGCUGCUCCACACUGGCACUGGACACCCCUUGUUCUGACUGUGGCACCAGAGAUCCAUUAGAGAACAGUGCUGUUCAGUCACUGCCCAUUUGGUAAGUGGCCAUUUUUGUAAUGAUGACCCACAGGUGGACAUUUUGAAUCUGGGUCAAUAGCCAUAGCAUUACCUGAUACAG
RNAcentral lists this long non-coding RNA (934 nucleotides) under Cyanistes caeruleus (blue tit). RNAcentral describes it as "lncRNA (ENSCCEG00000001048.1)". The record is from RNAcentral. Lineage: Eukaryota; Metazoa; Chordata; Aves; Passeriformes; Paridae.